This is a long non-coding RNA of Momordica charantia (bitter melon), 3606 nucleotides long. RefSeq lists it as uncharacterized. The record is from RefSeq and is a predicted model, not a curated record. Lineage: Eukaryota; Viridiplantae; Streptophyta; Magnoliopsida; Cucurbitales; Cucurbitaceae.
UUUUGGAUUUUAUUUCGGAUCCCAAAUUUAAGUUGAUGUCUUAAAUUCUUUAUCCCUCUUAUUUUAGGUAAUUAGCGUUUUAUUUUGGUUUUAUUCUUUUUGGUAAAAAGAAAAGGAAAAAGGGAAAACAAAAAGGAAAAAAAGAAAACCGUAACAUGUUUUUCUCUUCCUUUCUUCUUCCCAGACGCCCCCUUUUGUGCUCUCAGCCAGCCGCCAAGCCCUCCCUCUCUGAUGAUUCCAUCUUCUCCAGCGACCCAUGACGCAGUAGCAUUCUUCGACGGAGCUCAGCAAUGACUAGCGCCUCAACUAGCGUCAGCGGCGACAGUGUUCUCUGACGGUUCCUAGCAGCAGCGACACUUGUUCCUCCUCUCUCCACGGUGGCACCCACGAUUUGCGACAGCCACGACUCACAGCGAGCGGAUCAGCGACGCGACCUUCAUCUCUCAUGUUCCUCUUAGCAGACUAGCGGCGUGCAGCUUCCUCCCACGACGCAAGAACCCUUGCGGCAGCGGCACAUGUUCCGAGAACCAGACCCGAAGGUAGCUCUUUCACGCGACGAUCUGCAGCGUUCCAGUGACCUCCUACUGUGACUCAUGAACAGACUCAACGUCCUACAGCAACGACGACCCAUCCCUGACGGACGACAGCAGCAUUCCCUGGACAACAAUGCGUAUAGGACCAACAAGCCUGAACCCCUUCGAGCUUGUUUCUGCAGUGUCGAACACAUUCGAAAUCAAUCCAACACAGACCAAAGUGUUUCAGCGAGGUUCAUUAGAUUCUACAGGUAACAAAGUAUCGCGUGAGUAUGGUGAUGGUGUGGAGCAGACUUGACUGCAAAGACCAUUUAGCUGUGUAGUUUAGUUUUCAUUUAUCGUUUUGGAUAGGAUAGUAGUAUUUGUUUUUGCUUUGUGUUGGGUUUAUCCCUUGCAUUAAUAGGUUGGUUUAUUAGUUUUUUUUUUAUUAAAGGUUGUAUAAUUCUUUGAAGUCGUCGAUAGAUGAUUCUCUGUUCAAACUAAAAAUCAUUCUAGUUUGUUGAAUCAUAAUUCUUUGAGAGCUUAAGUUUUAUUAGUGUUUGAGUUAUGGGCUAAGACUUGUCGAAGUUGCUAGUCAUUACCUCGUUAUUGGUUUGACAUAAUAAGUAGUUUUUCUCCUGGAUGGGCGAAACUUUACAAAAGAUUAAUUGCUUAGGCUAGGUUGUUUGUGUUUAUAACGUAUAAAUUGUGGUUUGAGUUAUGGUAUUAGAGAAGUGCAGCAGAAGCAUGGGGGAAUUUAUCCUCAUUUUGUGUUGCUAGUGGUUUAGUUCUCUAAUGCGAGUGGAACUUUUUAGGUGGUUGUAGUAACGGUCAUCGUUUGGGAAGUUGAACAUCCUAGGGCGUUACAAAGUUACUUUAUAAAAACAAUCCCUCUGCUUCCUGCCUUAGUUUUGAGAGAAAAGACACACUGUAGAAAAAUGCGCUAGGUGCUACUUGACACUUUUCUGGAAAAUGAGUUAUACUCUUAACACGAACCACUUUUGGUUGUUUUAGAGUCUAGCUAUAACGUCCCCAAAUUUCAAACAACUCAAAUAAGGAAUCUCCUAUUCAGCUCAACACAAACAAAAGGGAAUGAUUACAUUUUGUCCAACAACUUCAUACAAAUAAACUUUAUUAACUUUAAAGGUUUCAAUAGCACAACUAAAAUAACUAGAGUUCUCAACAGAAUAACUAAUUAACCCACUUUAUACAAUCCUAUAACGAGGAAACCAAACAAACCAACCUAUUAACAAAAAACAAAUGCAAACUAUAAUGAAACAACUGGAACUACUACCAAGUGUAACAAUAACGAAAAACAAAACUAAGCUACGCAACAAAUGGUUGUUUCAGGUUAAGUCUCUUCCUCGCCAUCACGUACAAUAAUUAGUACUCAGUAAGCAGCCCUUACAUAAAGGGUCACGCACACACAACAUGCUUACACAACAACAAAACAUCCUACUCAUUAUUAAUAUCACGCUUUAAAUAAAACAGACAGUUUAUGAUGUUUGACCCCUAACGUGCAACCUACAUGCCAAACCCAAGCUUCACAUAACAACUCACUAAGUUCUCUUUCCUAUUCCUCCAAUACUUACUCCUCUGAGUCGUAUCGAUCUCUGACCUUUAUAUGGCACUUGGUGUUCGACCCUUCACCAUUUUUCCAAGGUCCCGAACUAUUGCAGUGACCCUUAACCACGCAUAGCUAAGGCAUCAAUGACUUUGCUACAUAUUGGCCUUUGUCUUUUCCUCUCAAGGCCUCAAUAUAUGCCUUCCUCUAAGACUCAUCUCAUCGACCCUCGACCAUUUACCUGAAGCCUCGACAGUAAUCUUUGUCCAAAGCUGGCGUAUCAACGCCUGACCAUUUGCUCGAAGCCUCAAUACCCAACCAGUGACAUAUUAGCCCUCUAGCCCUAAUACUCACACCAUAACAAAACCAAAACUCUUAGAGUCCUACAUGCUUCUAAGUCAUGACUCAUGCAUCAAACGUCUCACAAUAAUUCAGCAUGCUUCUUAAACCACCACCAACAUGCCAACAAUAUAAGAACAAUACCAGUAUGCUUUAUAGUAACAGAGUUUGAUCAAACAAUUAUAAACAGCUAGAACAAAUCAUAGUCAUCUAGAAUGUCCAACAUUCAUAGGAAACAUCUAGCAACAAUAUCCAACAAGCAUUAAAAGAUAAAGCACACAAAUUAAAACAUGCAAAUCAUACAUAAGCACACAACAAACAUCCCUUUAAGUAAGAACUACUUACAACUAAGGUCUUAAGGUGAUACUAAGCUUGCCAAAGGGUUUCUAAAUCAAAAGCAACCAAACUUUUGGGUUAGAAACCAAACCAAACUUUUGGGUUAGAAACCAACUAAAACACUUUAAUUAAAUCGAAAAUCAUCUUAGGUGAGUCGUUACCUAAUAACUCACACUGAAACAACUUGAGGUAAUGCCAAAUCAAGGCCGAGGUUCGGGCUUCCAAAUCCGACGCUGACAAGGUUGGGUUACACAAAACUAGUUCCAUUUGGGUGUGGCUACGUGCCGAAUAUAUGUCGAAUGGUAUGGGUAUCACAAAUCAUGCUUUGACGGGUGUGGGUCAACGCUGAAAGUAGCCAGAACGAUGAAAACGCCACAAAAAUCGAGUUGUUUGUCGUGCAUUGCCGUGAGGGGUUGCUAAAACGUCGCGGGUCUACUCUGCUCACCGUGGAGAAUGAGACUGCACCAGAUCUUGCUCGAAACACUGCCAGAAAACGCUGCUAAUCGAGGGAUACGUGGGUUCUGGGUUCGAGUCGUUGGAAUCUUCGAGUCAGGGUCGUUGCUGCAGAAGGAAGCACUGUCGUCCGUGUUCCCGCCAGAUCUACUUGAAGACAUCGUCGGAGAACAUUGAAACUUCACGCUGCCGCCGAUUGCUAUAGGUUGAUGUUGCUACUGCUAGAGGACACUGAUGCGAAUGGGUACGAAAUCGGAGAAGCUGUUGUUGUGGAGAGAAGCCACUGUCAUCAGAUCUGCUGCUCGCAUUUGUCUUCACCGGAGGAAGAUCGUGGGAGGAGGAAGCUGAAAAGGGGGGUGGGUGGUGGCUGGGCAAAUGGAGAAGAAGGGGGGAAGAGAAACA